UUUUAGGACAACUCCCUCUAAGGUGUUAAGUUUCUACUAUUCUCACAGAUCUUGCUUUGUAGGAAUUCCUGGUCUAGGAAGUUCCAAGUUAUCUACAGGUGUAUCUUUGAACCAAUCUGGAGAAACCUGUGAAAGUCUGGUGUUCCUACAGAUAUGUUGUAUUAGAUGAGGGAGUCUGUGGGGGAGUCCUUGACCUAAGAUAAUACAAGCAUGCCCCAAGGUUUCUGCUGCUUCUCCAGGAACUAAAUAUAAGUUUAUCAGUCAUCUUUCUCUGUCUGCUAAACAAAGAUAAUCAUAGUGCACCCACGGGCAACCCAUAGCCUUCCAGGAACCAAUAAGCCUCUUCUGGAAUACUCUACUUCCAACAAUAGCUUACUUCUGCUGUGAAUGUCUGAGAAGACCGGCAUAAUGAAAAGAGUUUGGGACAAAUGAACCAGAGAGAAAACCUCAUGAAUGCUUCAGAAUGCAUUUCAGCACUUCACUAGACAAAGCUGGGAAAGCAUGGCCCUAUUCCAACAGACUCCCCGGAGGCCUGGUCUCAGGAGUGGAAUUACGGAGUUGUAGGAUGUAGACAGCACAGAGCUCUUACACAGGUAUCCACCAAGUUUGCAGGAAGUUAUCAUCCAGAUACUUCAGCUAUAAUAUAGUAUACACAUUUUUGAUGGUCCUUGCUGUCUACAAAAUCAUACACUAAAAGUAACAGGGCUUAUGGGAAAAAUGUUAAAGGCAGACUACUCAAACAAUACAACCUGGUAACUAGAACAAAGAUGUGUUUGCUCCAAAUAAUUAAAAUACCACUAUAAAUACAGGAUUUUUUUUCCCGAAGGUGUAAACUUUGACCUAAGAGGACUAAGGAAGGAUUAAUAUGGAGACAAAAGCCCAAUGCACAAACUAUGAAUGAAGCAAGUAUUUCCAAAAUAAAGCCCAUGGCCUAACUGAACUGGGUAUAAAAACAUUCAGUGGAUGGGUAUCUUUAUAGCAGCAGGCACACCUCAUACAUGGGGGUUCGGUUGCAGACCUCUGCAAUAAAGUGAAUAUCGCAAUAAAAAGAGUCAAAUAGUUUUUUUGGUUUCCCAGUGCAUAUCAAAGUUAUGUCCACACUUUACCCUAAUUAAAAAAUACUUUAUUGCUAAAAAAGGCUAACUACCAUCUGAGUUUUUAGUGAGUCAUAAUCACUGAUCACAGAUCACCGUAACAAAUAAAUAAUGAAAGUAUGAAAUACUCUGAGAUUUACCAAAAUGUGACACAGACACGAAGUAUACAGAUGCUGCUGGAAAAAUGGUGCCCACAGACUUGCUCCACAGGGCUGCCACAAACCUUCAAUUAGUAAAACAACACAGUAUUUGUGAAGCGCAAUAAAACGAAGUGCAACGAAACACGGUAUACCUGCAUCGUAUUCUCCCAUGGCUUGCUUCCACAUACGCUUUCAUCUGCUUUUAUUUGCUGGAGCAAAACACUGAUGUGCUGAGAAAUACUAUGGAUCAACCAGUAAGAUCAUCUCAUUGUACCGUCACCGUUUCUUCCACUUACCAACUGCAACGCGCUAACUGCAUUACAGAAAGUUGCCGAAGGAGAGUACUGUUUCAGAUACUACAACUGUUGUUCGUGUAUUAUAAAAAAACAAAAAAAACCUCAGCCUGAGUUCUAGUUUUCUUUUACUUUUUCACAGUAUCACGAUGCAAAAAAAGUUUUAAAAUGUUAAUAUGGUCCAAAUUUGAGAACCAUGAAUGAAGCAAGCAAGUACUUUAAAAAUAAAGCCUGUGGCCUAACUGAACUGGGUGUAAAAACAUUCAGUGGAUGGGUAUCCUUAUAAGAGCAGGCACACUUCAAUUUUGGGGGUUCAGUUCAGAUCACUGAUCAACUUUUCCUUCAAGUUUUUAUAGGGGGGUGGGGGGGAAGGCUUGUAUUGUAGCCCCCAAAGAGGCCAAGAACAUUUCCAACACUUGUAAGAGUUUUUUUUUUGGUUUCCAUAGGCAUAUGUUCAGUCAAUUGGGAAUUGAUUCCUAUUUCAAAUAUAAAGAUUCAACUGUUUUUCUACAUCAAUAACCAAGUGAUCUCAGUACCAUUCUUUGAAUAGUUCAUUCUUUCUCUACUGCUACAAUACCACCACUGCCAAAUCAAUUUUUUAAUUUUUUCAUUUACUUAACAAAUAUUUACAUACUAUCCAUCAUGUGCCAGACUUUCUAAAAUUUAACUCAUUUCAAACCUCAAAACAACUCUAUGAAGUUGGUACUGUCGCCUCAUUUUAUAGAUCGAAGGAGGGAAAAACUAAGUAACUUGAUCAAGAUCACACAGUGAAUUAGUGGAGGGGCUGGGAUUUGAACCUUGGGAGGAAGGCUUGACUCCCAAGAGUCCAGGCUCUUAACCCCUGUGCUAUGAUGUCUCUCAUAUAUGCGUGAGUGUUUAUGGGCUCUAUUCCUAUGUCCUUUCCACACAUGUCUUAAUUAAUGGUCUUAAAAUGUAUCUGCAUAGGGGAAGCCCCCACCCCCCGGCAGUUUUCUUCUUUGUGAAUAUGACUGUUCUUGCCAUAUGGACUCUUUGGUCCAUGUGUAUUUUAGAGUCAACUUGUCAAGUUACAUGAAAAAACUAGUCGAGAUUUGAAUGGGAUAAUAUUAACUAUAUAGAUUAAUUUGGGAUUAAGGGACAUCUUUAUGACACUGAGUCUUCCUAUCCACAAGACAAUAUACCUCUACAUUUUGGAUCUUCUAGAUCUUUCAGUAAAGUUUUAAAAUCCUUGUAUCUUUUGUAGGAUGUAUUCUUAACAUAGCUUACUGCUAUUGUAGUUUCUGUGGGUGUUAGUAUUAUUCUAAAAAAAAAAAAAGCUUUUAUUUUUUCUUACUGAGUUAUCAAUGAAACUAACAUUCAUGUUGAGCUUAUAUUUGAAAACCCUGGUAAGCUGUUAACAAUUUUAACAGUUUAUCUAACAUCUAUUCUUUGCUUUUGUUUUGAAAUCAUUAAUACCCAAGUAUAGAACUGUAAUGCAUUUUUUCUCAUUUACUGAGAUAAUAUGGUCUUUCUCCUUUAUUAACAUAAUAUGUUGCAUAUGUAAGUUUUCUAAUCUUACAAUGUCUUUAUAUUCCUAGCAUAAGUCUAAUUUAGUCAUGAGGCAUUACUUCAGAUAGAUAUUGAUGAAUUUGGUUUGCUAGUAUGUUUUGGUUUUUUUUUUUUUUUUUUUUUUAUUUAUGUUCAUAAAUGAGAGUACCUUCUAAUUUUCUUUCUUAUACUCUACUUGUCUGAUUUUGGUAUCAAGUUUAUACUGUUUUUACAAAAUAAGUGGGGGAACCUACCAUCCUUUCCUACCUUGGGGGGAGUUUAACAAUGGUUAACAUGGUGUUCUUCGGACGUCUGGUAGAACCUGCUGUCAGACCAAUUUUGUAGGCCUCUUUUUAGUUUUUGGGGUUUUAUUUUUUAAUAUUUGUUGUUUUUUAAAAAGUUUUUCUUGAUAAUUACUUAUAAUAGUUAUUAUAGUCAAUUCACGUGUUCUGUUUCUUUUUGAAAUAUCUUGGUAAUUACUAUAUAUUGAGAUAUAUAGUUAGUAACAUAAUAAAUAUACUUAUAUAUUACAUAAUAUAUAAUGAAUAAUAUAUAAAAUAACGUUCUUAAGGAAAUUGCCUGUUUUCUUUAAAUCGAAGAGUAAAUAAAUUUCUCACAGAUUUUUCCAUUUGUUUUUUAUUUCUACUAUGCCUGAUGUGUCAUUCCUAUA
This is a long non-coding RNA of Acinonyx jubatus (cheetah), 3703 nucleotides long. RefSeq lists it as uncharacterized. The transcript has 3 exons. The record is from RefSeq and is a predicted model, not a curated record. Lineage: Eukaryota; Metazoa; Chordata; Mammalia; Carnivora; Felidae.